GUUGGUCGUCUCCUCCCUCCUGGCGGGCCCUCCCACAUCCUUCCGGUUAAGUCUUCAGGACAGCACCGUGUUCCUUUUCAGGGCUUCCUGUUGUGAGACCACUCGUGCAAGCAGCUAUCAUCCUGCCUGACCAAGAAUUGCCCGGUGACAUCAGCUAUUCCCCCGAAGUUGACGCAGCUACUAAAUAUACUGGUGUGUGUGUAAAGGCAGCUCAAGAAUGGGCUUGCUGCAGGAGUUUCAGCUGCUGUUCCUUGUUUGGGUCAUCUUCUCUGUGGGCUUUGCCUUGUUCUUGCUUGAGCAGUUCCACCUCAUUCCGCGAAAGCUGUUACACAGAGACGUGGAUUCAUCGCACUCCAAAUACGCAUCUAUACUUGCCAUCUUUCCGAGCGGCUGGGUAACCUGUCAUCAGACGGGCAGUCUUCCUAACAAUCACAACACCAAAAGAAGAGGCUAAAAAUGAAGAUGACUGUAUCCUGGGAACUGGAUGGAAAAAGUAUCUGCCAACCGGGGAAGAAAUAUUUUAUUUGCUUUGCUGGGUCAGUACCAAUGAUAGCAUGCAGUUGGGCUGAACAGCACAGAGGUUACUCUGCAAAUCCAGUGACUGCUCCAGAUGGACAGUUAUUUAUUUCUGCUUUGGUUUGCCUGUUUGUCCUCUGGCAAGCCACAUAGCUCAAUACAAACUAGUGAUAUUUCAUCUUUUUCUUUUUGUUUCUUCUUGUACUGCAGGCCAGUAAUUAUGCUCAUCUCCUACAGGUCAUGUGGAGAAACAUGGCAGAGAAAAGGGCAUAGAUCUAGGAGAAGGGUUAGAGGCAUGUUCUCCAAUUGAAACGUGAAAAUAUCCUCCCUCCGAGAAAAUGAGGAGGAGAGACUGCUUCCUUCCUGGGGGAAAGGGCAUGCUGAUGAGUGGAGAUAGAUACACGCAGCCAAGUGGGAGCAGAUAAUAAUCUCCUCAGUCUGGACCCGUCACUAAGCAAAAGAAAAUGUAAUCUCCUCUAAUGCUACUCAGGGACCUCACUUACAAAAUAUAUUUCCCACUCUUUAAAAUGAGGGUUUUUGCCAUUUUAAUGAGGACAUCAAGUCUUUACUUUCACAGACUUAAUAUUAAUUGGGUCCAUUUCUGAAGUGGGAAUUUUUUGUACCAUGCCACAACAUUGAAGAGUUCAAUAUUACCUUUUAAUAAUGUGUUUGAGUAGGUGAAUCUAUCAGUUCUGAUACUGAAGAGCGUAGAACGGUGAGUUUAUUCAUAUCCUGCCAUCAUUAGGUCUCAGCUUCUUCUUUUUGGCUGUUCCUUAUGUAGGUAAAAUGUUUCUUUAUGGGGAUUGCUCCUCAGAUCUGAAGGCUGCCAGUUCAUCACGGCGACGUGAAAGCAGGAGGGCAGCUGUGAACUCCUUUUAGAGGAGCCACUCAGAGCAAAAUCCUAGACAUGGUUUUCUUUUCUCUCUCUUUCUUUCUUUCUUUCUUUCUUUCUUUCUUUCUUUCUUUCUUUCUCUCUUUCUUUCUUUCUCUGUCU
Sus scrofa (pig) is the source of this 1510-nucleotide long non-coding RNA. RefSeq lists it as uncharacterized. Lineage: Eukaryota; Metazoa; Chordata; Mammalia; Artiodactyla; Suidae. The record is from RefSeq and is a predicted model, not a curated record.